Long non-coding RNA from Acinonyx jubatus (cheetah), 2291 nucleotides. RefSeq lists it as uncharacterized. The transcript is spliced from 3 exons. The record is from RefSeq and is a predicted model, not a curated record. NCBI's taxonomy places the organism in Eukaryota, Metazoa, Chordata, Mammalia, Carnivora, Felidae.
GAAGACCCGCCGAAUUUCCACUCGCACCAUUGUGUCCCCAGCACCUAGCAGAUCUUGACAGAACAGAGACUGAAUAUCUGUUCAAAUAAGGGAGGAAGGAGCCAACCCAGACACCAUCAUGCAACUCCACGCACCCCAACUCUAUCUUUCUCCAAAACAUCAGUGUGUGAACCGGCAUGAUCAUCAAGGAUGUCCCUAACGAAGAGGGAGGACAGUAAGAACAAGAGAGAGCCCCAGCAGGGGAGAUGCAGAGGGAGGGACAGAAGAAGCAAGCUAUGCACCCACAGCAGAGAGCUCAAUGGGGGACUCAAACUCAUGAAUGGUGUUCGAGGUCAACACCAACAGUGAUAAGUCAUGUUGAUGUCUGAGAAACUGCCACAGCCCAGAGGAACCUAAGGGGUCGUGAGAUAAAUGCUAAGUGGCAUCCUGGAUGGGAUCCUGGCAUAGAAAAAAGACAUCAGGUAAAAACUAAGGAAAUUUGAAUGAACUAUGAACUUUAGCUACUAACAGUGUAUCAUUAUUUAACAAAUGUAUCAUGUUAAUAUAAUAUGUUAAUAAUAGAGGAGAGAGGGUGGGUGGGGGAUAAAGAAUUUUGUAUUAUCUUCACAAUUUUUCUAUAAAUGUAAAAGUGUUCUAAAACAUAAGGUUUAUUUUUAAAAACACGGCACAAGGCUUUGUUUAUUUACACUUUAGAGUGUCAAAGCCAUUACACUGCCUACCUUGAAAAUGGAAUUUCCUCAAUGGAUUAAAAUAAAUAUUCAUUUAUCCUACAGUUUUAAUAUGUUUUGAAUCCAGGAGUUAAAUUGAUCAAUAAAAGUUGGCUACCAAUUACUUAGGUCAAUGUCUUAUGAACUCAGCGUCAAAAACGCAGCGUCGUUAAUUUGUAUGUAGUUGUAAUACAAACAAGGAAAGACGACUGGUUCCUUGAUCAUUUUAACUUCGAUGAAAAUACCUGUGAUGAAAGAAAUCCACAUAGAGCAGAUAUCAACCCCAAUGCUUGCAUUUUGCUUGCCUAAAAUUGUUUAGUACAGAACGACUUAUAUUGUUGUGUAAUUGGAACAAUUUUGUUCUCCUUAAAUAAAAUACCAGCCAAAGAUCAUUCAGGCUGCAACUGACAAAAGGCGUUACUACUAGUUUCUUCUAAUUUAGAGAAUUCCCUUUUUUUUUUUUUUUUUAAAAUCGAGAGUCUUGUUGCUACAUUGAAGCUAAAAGGAGAGCGGGGUCGAAGCCCAUUGGUGGUGUCCCUGGGCCGAGGGCAGGACUCUAAGCCAAGGGGCCUGCCCAUUGGUGGGCUGCCCGGCAGCUGUGGGGCAGGGGCGCCUGGGAUGGAGCUCGCAACCCAUUGGCUGCGUCGCUGGAGGAUGGUGUAAUGGACCGCCAAGGCCUGUGCAGCCGGUUUCUACAGCAACGGAGGCUUGAAAGAGCCACUCAGAUUUCGGCGUUCACCCCCAACUCCCCCUUCCGGAGGGGGCAGGGCGGCCUGGAUUUGAGGGCCGGAGAGGAAGGCGUGGGGGAUGGGAGUUAAGGGGACAGAGCCUUCCUCCGACCAAAGCUACCUUGCAAAGCAACAUUUGAACUGGGUUCGAGGAACCUGGCCUGCGUGUUCACUGGGGGGGGGAAUCUGCCAAACAGCCAUAAAGAAGAAAGCGGAAAAUGAUAUAUAAUACCGUCCCUCCCUGAUUUUUCCAUUGGUAAUAUCUUGCAUGCGAACGAGCACAAAGCCCGGCACAGAGUAGGGCCUCAAUACUUAAUGGGAGGGAGAAAGAAAAGGAAGGGAGGAAGGAAGAGAAAGGGGAGACGGAGGGAGGAGGAUCCAUGAUGUGGGCAACGUGGCGUGAGACAAAGUGCCCGCCCUACUGGGCUGAAAUUCCACAGUCAGACCCCGAGAACUGAGGGGGAAUGAUGGCCUUAGGAACGGGGGCUUGAAGGAGAGUGGGGUCGCCGGGGCGCUGGCGGAGGGAGGGGGGCGGCUUACAGGCUCCUGGCUCUGGAUAUUUGGAAGACCUGACUCUGCAGUAAGACGCCCUGGGUUCACAUUCCCGCGAGCUCUGUCACUUGCCAGCUGCCAGUGCUUCAAACUCUCCGGAUCCCGGUGUCUUUGUGUUUGGGGAGUAAUAAUACUUCAUUGAGUUGGUGUCAGAACUGAGUUAAGAUAAUGCAUGUCAAGUUCUUAAAACAAUGCCCGAAACAUAAUAAAUGUGCAAUCACCAGUAGCUGUUUUCCCAAUUGAAGAGGGGUGGGAUCUAAGCGGAGAGAAUAGGGCGGUUGUCAUUGUUGGGUAAGGAGGGAGG